CUGGCGCCGGCGCCGGCCACUAGGUUUAUGGCGUUCGCUCAUUCUCGUUCCUUCCUUGGCGGCAGUUAGAGCCCGAAUUGCUCCUCCCCAGGGGGCCCGACACCGCCCCUUCCACCCGCAGGCCAUGGCGGGCGCUGAGGCGCGGAGGCGGGCGCCAUGCUGAGGGCCGGAGGUUUCAUGUCGCUAGUACUAGCCCUAGUGCUAGCUGCGAGGCUCCCCGCGCUCGGCCGGCCGCCGCCGCCGCUGGGCCGACUCCUCGCCCUGUGGGAGCUGUGGCCAGGUUAUAUAAAAGAGUGUCAGCUACUAUCAAUGGUAACAGUAAACAAUUCUUCAAAUAAAAUAUCACAACUUGUGGACCCAGAACAAUCAACAUUGAAAAAAAAUCUUCUAAUUUCUCAUGGCGUUUGGCAGAACACUUCUACAGCUGGAAGAAAUUACAAAAUUUUUAAAACAAAAUCAGAAGCAACUAGAAGAAAAACUGACAAAUACAAGCACCAAUGGAAGCUGCUGAGAAAUAACAUUAUAAACAUUUUCAUGAAUCAAAACAAGCCACAACUAAUUACCAAUGAAGGCAUAAAAACACAAGUUUCCAAAAAGUGGACAGGAAGUGGAAAAAUAACUUCAACUGAAACAAAUGCAGAGCUAACAGAAAAAGCAAGAAAGAUCCUAAAGCUUGGGAAAACUGAAAAUACUAAGAUAAUAAGUCAACAUAAAAUUAAUUCACAUCUACAGAAUGAAUUUAAAAUUGUUGAAAAGAAAACUGCAAAUAAUAAAAGAAAUCAACUGCAAAAAAAGUUGUAUUGCAAUUCUUGUAUAUUUAACAAAUGCUUUGGAACUAAGCCAUCAUUGAUAAAUACGUUUUUGACAGCAAAUUGUCUAUCAACUGUUAAAGGAAAAUGUUGCAGAAAAAAUCUGAAAGACUUACAAAGCAUUUUGGUAUUAAAUUUAGUAAAAAAUCAGAUGGUCAAUGAAAGUAGUCAAAAUCAAACUAAAACAAUGACAAAGGAAAAAAAUAAAUGUACCAAUAAAAGAAUUUUAGCAUUUGUCAAACAAAAGGAAUUAGCUGAAAAGAGUUCUAAAACAUGGGACUGGGAAAGAAUAGGUGCAAUCAGCAGAGAUCAGCAUAAAAUAUUAACUGAUGCAAGAAAAGUGUUAAUAAGUGCAGAAAAGAAAAGUCAACAUACUGAACUUCAGAAAUAUGGACAUAUACCUAAAGAGUUUCAGGAAAUAACUGGAUCUGUAAACAAUAUACCAAGUGGAAUAAGCAGUUGGAAAAGAAAAUCAGAAGGAAUGUCUACUAGGCCUUACAGUAAAAACCAAAACAUUUUAAACUCAAUGAAACAAAGAUCAGCAGGAUUACAAAAGGGUCAACCAAAUAUGAAAGACAUAGAUGGAAUGUACACAACAGGAAAAUCAGACAAAAAUAACAGGAGCAUAGAUGUAUUGUUUAAUAGCUUGCCUGAAGUAGGAAUCAAAGUAAUACUUCAAGGUAAAGAGCAAAGAACUAAAACAACUCCAAAAUCUGUUGAUAAAAAUCAGAGAUCUUCUGCACAAGCAAUGAUCCUGCAAAGAAGCAAAGAAAAUGUGCAGGAAAAGUGGUCAAUAUAUAAAACUGGUUCUUCUAGAACUCAUGAAAGAAAACAAGAUACUUUUAAAACUAAAGUUUCUAGAAAACAGAAAUGGAGAGGGAAUCCGGUUGAAGUACAUAUACCUAAAAAAGAAAGUACUGUGUUUAGAGUGGAAAGGUUGGAAUAUUCAUCCAGAAAUGACCACGUAGAACCUAUAAAGUUAAAUUCUGUCUUUCCAACCACAAAAUAUGCUGUAAGUGUUAAACAGGCAUUAUUUCCACCAGAAAUAGGACAAGCAAAGUCUUCAAGACAUGUGGGAAAAAUGGUGACACAUAGCACGUCAACUUCAUGGAAGGUAAAACAGAAAUCUUUAAGCUUUGCUCAAAAGGAUUUAAAUAUUAAAGCUAGAAGAGCUGCUGUAUCAAACAAACAAACUGUGAAUAGUAAAUAUAAAAAAAUUAAUAAAAGAGAUUAUUUACCAAUAUCUUCAAUAUAUCCUUAUAAACAUACUUCUCAAAGUGUAUCUGAUGGUGAAAGAAGAAAACAAUCAACACAGGGUGAAAGUGUAAAGGUAUCUGUAGGAGCAAGAUGCUAAAAAGGAAGCUUGGAGGAGACAUAUUCAUAAUCUGAAGCUCAUCCCUUUCCUAUACCAGCCAAAUGGAUGGAGCAUAUUACACAUCCUCUGUAUCCUCAGAAAAGAUCUGGAAGGAAUUGUGUUUCAUGUAGACACAAUCUGCUGUGUGAUAAUCCUGAGGCUCCACACACACCAUCUUCUGUGUAAUUGCUCUAAAAUUGCCACUGAACCUAUAGACUUGUGAUUGUGAUAUUGACGACAAAUGGCAAGGUGGCAAUGAAUUACCUUGAAUGGUAAAUAUAUACAUCUACAAAAGGAUGUGUUGCAAGAAAAGAAUUCAUGUAUGGACAUCAUACAAUUGUUGUCUAAAAGAAAUCUGAGCCAGUUUUUCUUAACUAAGCAGAAACAUUUUCAUGGAAUGAAAGUUACCCUAGUGACAGAGCCCACAUAAGAUCCAGUACACCUAAAGGGCAUAGGUAUUCGUUAGAGCCUUCUGUGAG
Molecule: long non-coding RNA, 2642 nt
Filed under: Gopherus agassizii (Agassiz's desert tortoise)
Lineage: Eukaryota; Metazoa; Chordata; Testudines; Testudinidae
Description: lncRNA (ENSGAGG00000012457.1)
Source: RNAcentral